Molecule: ribosomal RNA, 439 nt
Filed under: uncultured bacterium
Lineage: Bacteria
Description: partial 16S ribosomal RNA
Rfam family: Bacterial small subunit ribosomal RNA
Source: RNAcentral
CUACGGGGGGCUCCAGUGAGGAAUAUUGCACAAUGGGGGGAACCCUGAUGCAGCAACGCCGCGUGGAGGAUGACGCAUUUCGGUGUGUAAACUCCUUUUAUAUGUCAAGAAAAUGACGGUAGCAUAUGAAUAAGCACCGGCUAACUCCGUGCCAGCAGCCGCGGUAAUACGGAGGGUGCAAGCGUUACUCGGAAUCACUGGGCGUAAAGGACGCGUAGGCGGGUUGGAAAGUCGGGUGUGAAAUCCUACAGCUUAACUGUAGAACUGCACUUGAAACUUCUAAUCUAGAGUAUGGGAGGGGGAGAUGGAAUUAGUGGUGUAGGGGUAAAAUCCGUAGAUAUCACUAGGAAUACCUAAAGCGAAGGCGAUCUCCUGGAACAUUACUGACGCUAAGGCGUGAAAGCGUGGGGAGCAAACAGGAUUAGAUACCCGGGUAGUC